This 466-nucleotide ribosomal RNA is filed under the name uncultured bacterium. Its description in RNAcentral is "SSU rRNA". It matches the Rfam family "Bacterial small subunit ribosomal RNA", at positions 26 to 518 of the family's 1533-position model. The record is from RNAcentral.
AGGACUAACGCUGGCGGCGUGCCUAACACAUGCAAGUCGAACGAAGUAGCAAUACUUAGUGGCAGACGGGUGAGUAACACGUAGUCAACCUGCCCUUCAAUGGGGGAUAACUAGCCGAAAGGUUAGCUAAUACCGCAUACGAUCUCUGAGUGGCAUCACUCGGCGAUGAAAGGAGUAAUCCGUUGAAGGAGGGGACUGCGUCCCAUUAGUUAGUUGGUGGGGUAAUGGCCUACCAAGACUCCGAUGGGUAGCUGGCUUGAGAGAGCGACCAGCCACACUGGAACUGAGACACGGUCCAGACUCCUACGGGAGGCAGCAGUGAGGAAUUUUUCCGCAAUGGGGGAAACCCUGACGGAGCGACGCCGCGUGUGGGAAGAAGGCCUUCGGGUCGUAAACCACUGUCGAGGGGGACGAUAUUGACGGUACCCCUGGAGGAAGCCCCGGCUAACUACGUGCCAGCAGCCGC